This is a long non-coding RNA of Sander lucioperca (pikeperch), 473 nucleotides long. RefSeq lists it as uncharacterized. The transcript is spliced from 2 exons. The record is from RefSeq and is a predicted model, not a curated record. NCBI's taxonomy places the organism in Eukaryota, Metazoa, Chordata, Actinopteri, Perciformes, Percidae.
ACACAUGUCCACAUAUGUAAGGUGUGGUUCCACAGUAAACCAGUGAUCUGCACAUUUACUCCUCACGAUGAAGCUGAUCCUGUCUCUCACUCUCAUCUGGAUGCUGUCUGGCACAGCUGCCCCAACAACAACUACAACAGCUGACCCAACAACUGCAACAGCUGUCCCAACAACAACUACAACCGUUGCCCCAACAACUACAACAGCUGUUUCAACAACAACUACAACUGCUGCCACUGCAUCCCAAUCAGCCACGACUACAAAACCUUCCAGUGGAGCCUCCUGUAUCCAGCUGGAUAUGAUCCAUCUGCUGCUUGGACUCCUUAUGUUUACCCUCUGUUAAAAUACAGAAACAGCUGAGACUACCCACCUAUGAAGCCGCCAGAACCACCCGUUGAAGCCUGGACUUAAGUUUACUGCUCACUGCAAUCUUUAGUUGGCUUUUACAAGGAGAAGGGGAAAUCCAAAUGUAG